This 523-nucleotide ribosomal RNA is filed under the name Fusarium sp. Capip4. Its description in RNAcentral is "eukaryotic LSU rRNA". The stretch from base 166 to 319 matches the Rfam family "5.8S ribosomal RNA". Lineage: Eukaryota; Fungi; Ascomycota; Sordariomycetes; Hypocreales; Nectriaceae. The record is from RNAcentral.
CUGCGGAGGGAUCAUUACCGAGUUUACAACUCCCAAACCCCUGUGAACAUACCAAUUGUUGCCUCGGCGGAUCAGCCCGCUCCCGGUAAAACGGGACGGCCCGCCAGAGGACCCCUAAACUCUGUUUCUAUAUGUAACUUCUGAGUAAAACCAUAAAUAAAUCAAAACUUUCAACAACGGAUCUCUUGGUUCUGGCAUCGAUGAAGAACGCAGCAAAAUGCGAUAAGUAAUGUGAAUUGCAGAAUUCAGUGAAUCAUCGAAUCUUUGAACGCACAUUGCGCCCGCCAGUAUUCUGGCGGGCAUGCCUGUUCGAGCGUCAUUUCAACCCUCAAGCCCAGCUUGGUGUUGGGACUCGCGAGUCAAAUCGCGUUCCCCAAAUUGAUUGGCGGUCACGUCGAGCUUCCAUAGCGUAGUAGUAAAACCCUCGUUACUGGUAAUCGUCGCGGCCACGCCGUUAAACCCCAACUUCUGAAUGUUGACCUCGGAUCAGGUAGGAAUACCCGCUGAACUUAAGCAUAUCAUA